CUCCAAAUAAGCAUGACAGUUCCUCUUCCAAUGACCUGGUUUCUUGCAAUAGUGACAAUCACCAUCCUUCUGAACACCACCUUUCGGCUUCAAGGCCUUAGUUGGACCAGGUUUCGGAUUGGCAUUAGAAUUAGAUCCCAUCUUCUUCUUGCCUUUCCAUUUACCCUUUCCUUUGGCCUUCCCCUUAUUCACCAUCAAUAUGGGAGUAGGGGACGCCUUCUGAAUGUUGGUUUCAGCAGUUUUCAACAUUGCCAACAAUUCGGUGGGGUUCUUGUUUAUCUCAUUCAUAUUGUAAUUCAUUACAAACUGAGAAUAGUUAUUGUUUAGAGAUUGCAAGAUCAGAUCAAUUUGGUGCUCAGGACCAAUCGGGGCACCCAAUUUUUCAAGAUAAUCAAUAUACCCUAUCAUCUUCAGAACAUGCGGUCCUACCGGAUCACGUUCACCCUGCUUACAAGCAUUCAAAGAUUUGAAAGUAUCAAACCUCUCCUGACGAGCCUGUCCCUCAAACAUACGCUUAAGGUGCUCAAUCAUAUCAUAAGAAUCCAUAUUCUCAUGUUGUUUCUGAAGUUCAGCACUCAUGGUCGCUAACAUGAGACAUUGAACAUCCGUGUCAUCAUCGAUAUGCUUCUGAUAAGCAGUAUGCUGAGCACGGGUUGAUCCUUCAGCGAGAGGUGUAGGGCGAGGAAUAUCUAUGACAUAGAGCUUGCGCUCUUGUUUGAGGACAAUCCUCAAAUUCCUUUGCCAGUCAAGGAAGUUGGUUCCUGUCAGCUUGUCCUUCUCAAGGACUGAUCGUACAGAGAAGUUGUUUGAAUUAUUUGCCAUUGGAUAUCUACAAUAUUUCAAAUGCAUAAGAUAAAUUAGUCUACAGAUGUUUAUUAAAUUAUGUUCAAGUGAUUAUAAAUAUAUAUUCAAAAUAUAUAUCUCCCACUAUUUUGUUCAAAUCAAUAGCCCUAACUAUUAAUUCGGAAAGCAUUUCUGCAAAUCUUUCUAGUGAGCCAAGAUCCAUAUUUCAUCCAUGUUUUAAGUUAGCGUGGGCUAAUACUCUCAAAACAUGACUAGAUUCUUGUUUAUCUCAUUCAUAUUGUAAUUUAUUACAAACUUAGAGUAGUAGUUGUUUAGAGAUUGAAAGAUCAGAUCAAUUUGGUGCUCAAGACCAAUCGGGGCACCCAAUUUUUUCAAGAUAAUCAAUAUACCCUAUCAUCUUCAGAACAUGCGGUCCUACCGGAUCACGUUCACCCUGCUUACAAGCAUUCAAAGAUUUGAAAGUAUCAAACCUCUCCUGACGAGCCUGUCCCUCAAACAUACGCUUAAGGUGCUCAAUCAUAUCAUAAGAAUCCAUAUUCUCAUGUUGUUUCUGAAGUUCAGCACUCAUGGUCGCUAACAUGAGACAUUGAACAUCCGUGUCAUCAUCGAUAUGCUUCUGAUAAGCAGUAUGCUGAGCACGGGUUGAUCCUUCAGCGAGAGGUGUAGGGCGAGGAAUAUCUAUGACAUAGAGCUUGCGCUCUUGUUUGAGGACAAUCCUCAAAUUCCUUUGCCAGUCAAGGAAGUUGGUUCCUGUCAGCUUGUCCUUCUCAAGGACUGAUCGUACAGAGAAGUUGUUUGAAUUAUUUGCCAUUGGAUAUCUACAAUAUUUCAAAUGCAUAAGAUAAAUUAGUCUACAGAUGUUUAUUAAAUUAUGUUCAAGUGAUUAUAAAUAUAUAUUCAAAAUAUAUAUCUCCCACUAUUUUGUUCAAAUCAAUAGCCCUAACUAUUAAUUCGGAAAGCAUUUCUGCAAAUCUUUCUAGUGAGCCAAGAUCCAUAUUUCAUCCAUGUUUUAAGUUAGCGUGGGCUAAUACUCUCAAAACAUGACUAUUUAGGUAGACAACAUUUGUCAAUUAUAUCAAAUAUAAUGAGAAUAGUUAUUGUUUAGAGAUUGCAAGAUCAGAUCAAUUUGGUGCUCAGGACCAAUCGGGGCACCCAAUUUUUCAAGAUAAUCAAUAUACCCUAUCAUCUUCAGAACAUGCGGUCCUACCGGAUCACGUUCACCCUGCUUACAAGCAUUCAAAGAUUUGAAAGUAUCAAACCUCUCCUGACGAGCCUGUCCCUCAAACAUACGCUUAAGGUGCUCAAUCAUAUCAUAAGAAUCCAUAUUCUCAUGUUGUUUCUG
RNAcentral lists this long non-coding RNA (2146 nucleotides) under Daucus carota (carrot). Its description in RNAcentral is "long non-coding RNA (DCAR_LNC000233)". Lineage: Eukaryota; Viridiplantae; Streptophyta; Magnoliopsida; Apiales; Apiaceae. The record is from RNAcentral.